GACGAACGCUGGCGGCGUGCUUAACACAUGCAAGUCGAACGGAAAGGCCGUGCUUUUGUGUGGUGCUCGAGUGGCGAACGGGUGAGUAACACGUGAGUAACCUGCCCUUGACUUUGGGAUAACUUCAGGAAACUGGGGCUAAUACCGGAUAGGAGCUCCUGCAGCAUGGUGGGGGUUGGAAAGUUUCGGCGGUUGGGGAUGGACUCGCGGCUUACCAGCUUGUUGGUGGGGUAGUGGCUUACCAAGGCUUUGACGGGUAGCCGGCCUGGGAGGGUGACCGGCCACAUUGGGACUGAGAUACGGCCCAGACUCCUACGGGAGGCAGCAGGGGGGAAUAUUGCACAAUGGGCGGAAGCCUGAUGCAGCAACGCCGCGUGCGGGAUGACGGCCUUCGGGUUGUAAACCGCUUUCGCCUGUGACGAAGCGUGAGUGACGGUAAUGGGUAAAGAAGCACCGGCUAACUACGUG
RNAcentral lists this ribosomal RNA (468 nucleotides) under uncultured bacterium. RNAcentral's name for it is "partial 16S ribosomal RNA". It matches the Rfam family "Bacterial small subunit ribosomal RNA", at positions 28 to 507 of the family's 1533-position model. The record is from RNAcentral.